GGUUGAUCCUGCCAGUAGUCAUAUGCUUGUCUCAAAGAUUAAGCCAUGCAUGUCUAAGUAUAAGCUGAUUAUACUGUGAAACUGCGAAUGGCUCAUUAAAUCAGUUAUAGUUUAUUUGAUGGUACUUUACUACACGGAUAACCGUAGUAAUUCUAGAGCUAAUACGUGCGUAAAUCCUGACUUUCGGAAGGGACGUAUUUAUUAGAUAACAGGCCAACCGAGCCUAGCUCGACCCGUGGUGAAUCAUGAUAACUUCACGAAUCGCAUGGCCUUUGCGCCGGCGAUGUUUCAUU
This 293-nucleotide ribosomal RNA is filed under the name uncultured eukaryote. Its description in RNAcentral is "partial 18S ribosomal RNA". It matches the Rfam family "Eukaryotic small subunit ribosomal RNA", at positions 6 to 299 of the family's 1831-position model. The record is from RNAcentral.